UUUACUUUUUUUGUGUGUUUUGAGCGAGUUUUGUUCGGUCGCAGUUUAUUUUAUGGCAGCUUUCAAAGUUUUUACUCAUCGCCGGACAGCUGAAGUUGCUGCUCCUCUUGAGGUGGCAAUAAAAUAAAUGGCAGCACUUUCGGUUUUACACACACACACACACACACACGCAGACACCGGGCUACCUGUGCAAAAAGGCAAUUUGGAAAGGUGGAAACGUGGAAACGUGGAAAAGCGAAGCCUGCAAUGGCCAUAUAUCAAAAGGCGAAAGAGUAAAGCACAUAAAACCAGCCAAACUAAACGAACGUGAGAUGUGCAGAGAUCGGACCAACAGGACAGCGGGAUUUGCUGGCGGCAAGUUGGUUAGCGGCAAAUAUUUGUGGUACUUCCAGUUGGCCACUGAGUGGUUUAUGACUUCUUGGGGCCGUCCCAAAUCAGUGGCUCAUGCUAAACCGUAGGACCCCGGCACUAAAAUCCAGCCCCUGCACCGCACAAAAUAGCAGCCAAUACUUAAAUAGUUUCCACUUUGAAGGGUCUUGGAAUUCCAUGGCGUUUAGUACACCUGCGAAAAGUGUCAGGUCUGUUGUCCUGAAGAUUUAAACCAGCUUCUCAUACAUUACCAUGAGUCACAAUUUGACUGCAUCUAUAAAGCUUUCUUUCUUUCUGUGUGGGAUGUGGGGUCUCAGGUGAAACGCUUAACGUGAAUGCCUCAUCUCAUUGUUGAAAGUAUUGACAACAUUGUAGUUGGCAAAGGAGGGCGAGAAAGGCAUAAACCAACGCAUGAGAGGGUGCGAAAAUGUAAUUUCUAAAAGGAUUACCGAAAGCCUUAAAGCAAAUCCUGGCGACAGGAGAGCCGAAGGAGCUGGUGACAUGAAAAAUGAAUUGCAAGCCACGACAAAAAAGGCGAGUUUUCAUUUUCCAAACACACACACAACCACACACACACUCGCACACGUGGAGUCAUCGUCUCGGCGGCGCAAAAAUAUGUGAAAAAUGAACGGAAAUGCCGCAGCGGCAAAGCGGAAAUGAAAAAUGCACACAAACACACACACACACAUACUCAUGAAUGCGAGUACCCCGGAAAAUGGCGGCUACCUCAGCGCUGGAAGAGCCAAAAUCAGAGAGCAAUGGAAAACGGGAAAAACAAGAGGAACAAGGGGGACUGGGAAUGGAAAUGGAAUGGCAAAGUCCCACCAAAACCGAAGGAAAGUCAGUCGUUGAGAAAGUCAGACUCGGCGAGUACAUUGUAAUUAAUGAUGAGGCAUAAAGCGCAUAAUCGAGAUGCUGGGGUCGUUCGCACAGAUGGAUUUUCCAUGUGAAUACAUAAAUAGCACAUUGGGGUAAAAAACCAGGAAGUGACUUUAAGCUGCCAUCGGAUAAAACCUAACCGUUGUAGGAAAACCAAACCACUUGGGCAGCAACAAACCGCAAGUUUGAUCAAGAACAUCUUCUACUUAAGUCAUUUUCAGGCAUUUUCCGCAUUCAGUUUAAUUGAAAAUCUAUGUUCGCACAUAGUGUACGGCUAAACAAAGCCGAUUACAUUUAUUUCACACCACAAACCUAAUGGCAAGGUCAGAACCCGAGAACGUUUACAGGAAAACAAAAGACAUAGCUGGUCAAUAAAACUCUUUAACUACCUGCUCAGGGCGAACUCUAAUCUUCAGUCAAUGAUUAACCCAAGAAAUCUAUCCGUACACCCAACUCCGUGUCCAUUCAUUCACCUGCUCUAAUGAAUUAGCAAGCCCAAUUCAAACAGGGCCCAACCAGAAAAAAACGGAGGGGAAUAAGCCGGGAAAACGAGUGCGGAGGAGGCAAAGGUUGUGGCGGGGGUGAGGGAUGGCCACACGCAAGCGUCUUCCUAAUUAUUCACAAUGAAUGAAUGAAUGAAGUGGAGAGGUGAUGGUGAGGGUGCGGGUGUGCUAGAACAUUUUGACACCUUUAUGGCUCAAUAAAUUGGACCGAAUGCAAGGAACUCCGGGCACGCCAGUUCAUUAGAAACUCACACGGGGAUUUUGAUAUCGCCUCUGAUUACGGCUAAGAUGACGAGGCUACGGGGCCACUCGUAGCUCAUUCCCAUGGCAUUGUGCAGUAGGAAAAAAAUCGCAUUCCGGCCAUAAAUUACAUUUUCAGAGUCUUUCAUACGAAAAUAUAUUUUAUGCAGAACAUUUCAGCUGGUUGUCGUUCUCUACACGGAUUAAUCAUAACCUUUGCAUUCAUAUUGCAGAGCAACAUUAAAUGAUUCGAAUGUUUAUUAAUUAUUCCUUACUGCCAUAGUUAAUAAAUAUAUAAUGGGGCAAGCUUUUUUCAUUGUGUAUGCAAACUGGCAAUGUGGGCACGUAAAGUUUACAGUUACCCAAGCACUGGACUCGUUAGUGCUCGGAUACUGUGUUAUAGUUGAAAGCGACGACCAGACGAAGGGAGCAGCUCCUGCCCCCGAGUUGGGUGGCACUGACUGGGGGAGUCCAGGGAUCCUUGAAGCCACCGAUGCCGAUGCUGAUGGCGGCGGUGGCGGUGGCGUCGUCGACUGCUUAUGAAUAAUGUUUUCAUUUUUAGACCGGCAAAUUUGUCCUCGUCUAUGGCACGCAAUUGCAUGUUAAGUGCAUAUGAUUCCCGCGCACUGUUUCCUCAUUUCCACUUGGCCAAAACCCUCGGUCCUCAGUCAGCCUCGAGUAAUACGCGAAAAUUACUGGUUGUAAUGUAACAGGCACUUUUGCUUCCUUCUUUUUAAUGACAUCCCACAAACGCGACAUGGUUCCAUGGGUCGUGGGUCUAAGUGAUUAGCACCGCAGACCAGGACAAACAUUAGAAACUGGCUUCAUUUAUAUUAAUUAAUGUCGUCUGCACUGAGUUGCUGUUAAGUUAAACUUUCGAGAUGACUUUUGAAACUUUAAACUAAUGCUAAGGUCUGGAAGCUGGUGGUAUUCCAAAGGCAUCUCAAGAUAAUUUUCUACGUCAUUUUGUAGGUGAUCAAAAUUUAUAUGAAUAUAUGAACCGCUAUGAAUCAUAUGAAUGCGUACUAAUGCAUGUGGCAUUUAUUUGAAUUGUGCACAAUGCUUUAUCAACUUUUAACAACGAAUGCAAGUGCACUUUGCUAUGACACGCAAGCCCCAAAGUAUGCAACAGUUUCUGAGUGAGUGCGGCAUUGAAUUUUCACACAAUCAGAAACCAGUUUGAACGCAUCCGCUUCCGUUAUUGCAUGGCGGUUUGCAUUUUUGAGUUAAAAGCGUGCGCUUUUUUGCAAUUUGAUUUGUAGCCUAAACUCACAGCACUUUUUGACACCAGUUGGUUGCGAAAUUCCGCGACAGCGGUAGAUUUUGUUGCAGCCUGGCAUUUGACAGAAUGACAAACGCAUAACUAUAAAAAUGCAUUCCCUGCGCGACCACAUCAACUUUCAAUUAAAGCGCGAACUAGCCAGCUGCAUUUAAAGUGCAUUUUGAAAGCGGAACCUGCAUUAUGGAUAAGAUGAAGCCCAGCAUAACAAAACUCUCGAGACUUUCGACGACAUCAGCCGCAGAUGACGACCUGAGGGCCAUCCGCUGUUUAAAAUGCUCUCGAGAACGACAAAGUUUCAGUUUCCACUGCAGUUGCACUGCAA
Drosophila santomea is the source of this 3595-nucleotide long non-coding RNA. RefSeq lists it as uncharacterized. The transcript is spliced from 3 exons. Lineage: Eukaryota; Metazoa; Arthropoda; Insecta; Diptera; Drosophilidae. The record is from RefSeq and is a predicted model, not a curated record.